RNAcentral lists this non-coding RNA (30 nucleotides) under Homo sapiens (human). The record is from RNAcentral. Lineage: Eukaryota; Metazoa; Chordata; Mammalia; Primates; Hominidae.
UCUGACGUGGAUCAGGGCUAUGGGUGCUGU